GGAGAGAUGUCCGAGAGGCCGAAGGAGCUUGAUUGGAAAUCAAGUAUAGGUGUCAAAGCCUAUCAAGGGUUCGAAUCCCUUUCUCUCCG
Molecule: transfer RNA, 89 nt
Filed under: Acetobacter sp. CAG:977
Lineage: Bacteria; Pseudomonadati; Pseudomonadota; Alphaproteobacteria; Acetobacterales; Acetobacteraceae
Rfam family: tRNA
About the family: Transfer RNA (tRNA) molecules are approximately 80 nucleotides in length.
Source: Rfam by way of RNAcentral